UGUUGGGCCAAAUGGCCUGUUUCUACACUGUAGGGAUUCUAUAAUUUCUAUGAUUACUCAGUCAUAUACAAGAGAAAUGAGAUAGCCUCUCUGGUGACUUUCACACUGCUGUAGCCCAAAUGGAGAUCAAACCUCAACCUUAGAGUUAUACAGACAGUUACAUAAUCAGUAAAUGUUACUAAGAGGAGCUCCUGCCAUCCAGCCCUUCCAGCUGAAAGGCACAUCAACAAAUCACGGGUCUGUGGCUCACAACUUUCAUUAAUUUUAAUUGAGGGAAAGUCAGAGGAUGUUUGCUGACAACGUGGAUUCUCAUCAAUCCAGGACCCAGGCUAUAACCUUCAAAAGGACUGACAAAGAACACCUGCUUUUUCUAACUGAUGCAAAUACGCAUUCUUUUAAGAAAAUUUCAGGAUACCUACGUUCUCACCACCUUUUUGCUAUAUGAGGAACAAUGGCAGCAAAAGCAAAACAAUUCCCCAGGCCUGGAAGUGAGAGUUCUUUUAUCUUUUCGUUGCUGCAUUUUAAAUUUCCUGCCUCUCUAUCUUGUGAGUAAGGUUCCACAGCAAAAGCAUUCAGAAUCUGUAUUCC
Non-coding RNA from Chiloscyllium plagiosum (whitespotted bambooshark), 588 nucleotides. Lineage: Eukaryota; Metazoa; Chordata; Chondrichthyes; Orectolobiformes; Hemiscylliidae. The record is from RefSeq and is a predicted model, not a curated record.